RNAcentral lists this transfer RNA (65 nucleotides) under Brephallus tramlapensis. Its description in RNAcentral is "tRNA-Pro". It matches the Rfam family "tRNA". Rfam says of the family: Transfer RNA (tRNA) molecules are approximately 80 nucleotides in length. Lineage: Eukaryota; Metazoa; Arthropoda; Insecta; Blattodea; Blaberidae. The record is from RNAcentral.
CAGGGAAUAGUUUAAUAAAAUAUUAAUUUUGGGAAUUAUUGAUGAAGAAUAAUCUUCUUCCUUGA